Molecule: ribosomal RNA, 241 nt
Filed under: uncultured Staphylococcus sp.
Lineage: Bacteria; Bacillati; Bacillota; Bacilli; Caryophanales; Staphylococcaceae
Description: partial 16S ribosomal RNA
Rfam family: Bacterial small subunit ribosomal RNA
Source: RNAcentral
CGGACGGGUGAGUAACACGUGGAUAACCUACCUAUAAGACUGGGAUAACUUCGGGAAACCGGAGCUAAUACCGGAUAAUAUAUUGAACCGCAUGGUUCAAUAGUGAAAGACGGUUUUGCUGUCACUUAUAGAUGGAUCCGCGCCGCAUUAGCUAGUUGGUAAGGUAACGGCUUACCGAGGCGACGAUGCGUAGCCGACCUGAGAGGGUGAUCGGCCACACUGGAACUGAGACACGGUCCAG